Molecule: ribosomal RNA, 253 nt
Filed under: uncultured bacterium
Lineage: Bacteria
Description: partial 16S ribosomal RNA
Rfam family: Bacterial small subunit ribosomal RNA
Source: RNAcentral
UACGUAGGGUGCAAGCGUUGUCCGGAAUUAUUGGGCGUAAAGAGCUCGUAGGCGGUUUGUCGCGUCUGCUGUGAAAACUCGGGGCUUAACUCCGGGCCUGCAGUGGGUACGGGCAGACUAGAGUGCGGUAGGGGAGACUGGAAUUCCUGGUGUAGCGGUGAAAUGCGCAGAUAUCAGGAGGAACACCGGUGGCGAAGGCGGUUCUCUGGGCCUUACCAGACGCUGAGGAGCGAAAGCGUGGGGAGCAAACAGG